UCAUGCAUGAGCACUCCUCAUAGCAUGGGUUUUCUGUUUAUUUAGGUCGCUUUUACUGGGAGUUUUGAAACUGGCAAGAAAAUUAUGGCAUCGGCAGCUCCUAUGGUCAAGCCUGUUACACUGGAACUUGGUGGAAAAAGUCCUAUAGUAGUAUUUGAUGAUGUUGACAUUGACAAAGCUGUCGAGUGGACUCUGUUUGGGUGCUUUUGGACCAAUGGUCAGAUUUGCAGCGCGACAUCUCGUCUUCUUAUCCAU
Long non-coding RNA from Zea mays, 255 nucleotides. RefSeq lists it as uncharacterized. The transcript has 3 exons. The record is from RefSeq and is a predicted model, not a curated record. NCBI's taxonomy places the organism in Eukaryota, Viridiplantae, Streptophyta, Magnoliopsida, Poales, Poaceae.